RNAcentral lists this ribosomal RNA (461 nucleotides) under uncultured bacterium. RNAcentral describes it as "partial 16S ribosomal RNA". It matches the Rfam family "Bacterial small subunit ribosomal RNA", at positions 28 to 523 of the family's 1533-position model. The record is from RNAcentral.
GAUGAACGCUGGCGGCGUGCCUAAAACAUGCAAGUCGAGCGGCAGCACGGUCUUCGGACUGGUGGCGAGCGGCGGACGGCUGAGUAACGCGUAGGAACAUACCCCAAAGUGAGGGAUAACUGCUCGAAAGAGUAGCUAAUACCGCAUGUGGUCUAAGGAUUAAAGCUUCGGCGCUUUGGGAAUGGCCUGCGUCUGAUUAGCUUGUUGGUGAGGUAAUGGCUCACCAGGGCGACGAUCAGUAGCUGGUCUGAGAGGAUGAUCAGCCAGACUGGGACUGAGACACGGCCCAGACUCCUACGGGAGGCAGCAGUUAGGAAUUUUCCACAAUGGGCGAAAGCCUGAUGGAGCAACGCCGCGUGCAGGAUGAAUGCCUUCGGGUUGUAAACUGCUUUUAUAUGUGACGAUUAUGACGGUAGCAUAUGAAUAAGGAUCGGCUAACUCCGUGCCAGCAGCCGCAGUAA